UACAGAGACUGCAAGCGUUAUUCGGAUUCACUGGGCGUAAAGGGUGCGCAGGUGGCCAAGUGUGUUAGGCGUGAAAGCCCGGGGCUUAACCCCGGAAUUGCACCUAAAACUACUUGGCUAGAGCAUUGGAGAGGGGAGCAGAAUUCAUGGUGUAGCGGUGAAAUGCGUAGAUAUCAUGAGGAAUACCAGAGGCGAAGGCGGCUCCCUGGACAAUUGCUGACACUCAGGCACGAAAGCGUGGGGAGCAAAAGGG
RNAcentral lists this ribosomal RNA (253 nucleotides) under uncultured bacterium. RNAcentral describes it as "partial 16S ribosomal RNA". It matches the Rfam family "Bacterial small subunit ribosomal RNA", at positions 524 to 776 of the family's 1533-position model. The record is from RNAcentral.